CUCAAGUGCUGUAAAAAAAAAAAAACACUGGCUGAAAAUGCUAAGGGCUUUUUAAUGCAACAUGCAAAUAACAUUUGAGCAGCAGAAGACAGCUAGAGAUAGGAAAGGGCACUUGCGUCAGUCCAUUUUAGAAAUCACAGUUCAGGAUCGACCAUAGCUGAGCAGCUCUGGUGCACUUAGUGCCCUUUGAACCUGUUAGGUUAUUGCAGCACCCUAUAUAUGAGUAGCACCUGUCUUCUCUGAGACACUUGUAAUGCUGAACACAACCAAAGUGGCAGUGAGAAGAUGUGUCACCCACAACAGAAUUUGUACAUAUACUAAUAUAUGCCCUGUUAUUCCAUAAGUUCCAUCACAGAACUGUAAAAGAUCACAGUUUUGGUACCAGCACUUCUCAGAAAGGAUGGCAGGAGAUGUGCAAGGUGUUUUUGGUAAUGCAGUUACUUGUUUGGCAUUAUACCAGCCAAAAGAUUUUUUUAUUUCUUCCUGCAGCCAUUCACCUCUAGCUCCCGCACCACAAUAACUGGGUGUGUGAGGCAGGCAGCCACUGCCUGAGUGCAGCCCCAGAGGCAGGAAGCCUCUGGCAGCACCCCACACUGCCCUCUCCUGUGGGGUGAUGGCCACUGCUGACUGGCUCUCAGUUGGGCCCUUCCAGGUCAAGUGUGCAGUGACAUAGGCUAGCGAAUGGGAUCCCAGAUACCUGGCUCACAGCCCCAAGAUUACAGUGCCAUCACAGUGCCAUCAGCUGAAAGAAGAGGAAGAAGGAAUUUCCUCGCUUUCUUAUCCAGACCUCUGUGGGACGGCCAAUGUCAGCUGGGAUUUUCAAUCUGCUUUCAAGGCAUCUGUAAAUUUUCUGUCUAUACAUUUUCUCUGGAAUUCUGUGCAGCAGUAAGAAGGAAGUUGCUAAUUCUAUUUUACAGUACUGACCAGCUUCCAGCUUUGCAAGCCAUUCAUCUGGUCUCUCAAAAGAUACUUCCUGCAUUACUCCCAGUAAACACCAGCCAUGUCAACAGAUGCUGAUAUGGCCAUCUUUGGGGAGGCAGCCCCCUACCUCCGAAAGUCAGAAAAAGAGAGAAUCGAGGCCCAGAACAAGCCCUUUGAUGCCAAGUCAUCAGUCUUUGUGGUGCAUGCUAAAG
This 1133-nucleotide long non-coding RNA is filed under the name Anas platyrhynchos platyrhynchos (common mallard). RNAcentral describes it as "lncRNA (ENSAPLG00000018279.1)". The record is from RNAcentral. Lineage: Eukaryota; Metazoa; Chordata; Aves; Anseriformes; Anatidae.